RNAcentral lists this small nuclear RNA (316 nucleotides) under Erinaceus europaeus (western European hedgehog). Its description in RNAcentral is "7SK RNA". It matches the Rfam family "7SK RNA". From Rfam's summary of the family: 7SK was discovered as an abundant small nuclear RNA in the mid-70s but a possible function has only recently been suggested. Two independent studies have found that 7SK RNA binds the CDK9/cyclin T complex (known as elongation factor P-TEFb). The record is from Rfam by way of RNAcentral. Lineage: Eukaryota; Metazoa; Chordata; Mammalia; Eulipotyphla; Erinaceidae.
GGAUAUGAGAGCGAUCUGGCCACCACAUCUGCCACCCCAUUGCUUGCCAGGGUUGAUUCGACUGACUAGCUGGCUAGGCGUAGGCAGGUGUCCCCUUCCUCCCUCACUGUUCCAUGUGCUUCCCCCCGAAAGCUGAUGACUUUCUCCAGAUAGAGGCAGACUGGUCUUUGAUAGAGGGAAUACGAAUAACUGGGCUUCUCUGCUAAAAUCUCCAAACUAGCUCUCAAUUUUAGUUAGAAAGAGACAGAGAGAGGAAAAGGGAGAGGGGAAAAGAGACAUCACAGCACUGUUCCACCAUUCAUGGAACUUCUCCUUG